RNAcentral lists this ribosomal RNA (468 nucleotides) under uncultured bacterium. RNAcentral's name for it is "partial 16S ribosomal RNA". It matches the Rfam family "Bacterial small subunit ribosomal RNA", at positions 28 to 506 of the family's 1533-position model. The record is from RNAcentral.
GAUGAACGCUGGCGGCGUGCUUAACACAUGCAAGUCGAACGGUGAAGGCGGAGCUUGCUCUGCUGGAUCAGUGGCGAACGGGUGAGUAACACGUGAGCAAUCUGCCCCUGACUCUGGGAUAAGCGCUGGAAACGGCGUCUAAUACUGGAUACGAGCUGCGAAGGCAUCUUCAGCAGCUGGAAAGAAUUUCGGUCAGGGAUGAGCUCGCGGCCUAUCAGCUUGUUGGUGAGGUAAUGGCUCACCAAGGCGUCGACGGGUAGCCGGCCUGAGAGGGUGACCGGCCACAGCGGGGAUGGGGAGACGGCCGGAGCGCGUCGGGGGGGAAGGGGGGGGGAAUGUGGGAGAAAGGGCGAGGGCCUGAGGCAGGAACGCCGGGGGGGGGGCGACGGCCUUCGGGUGGAAACCCGUUUUUAGGGGGAAGGGAGCGAAGGUAAGGGUACCGGCAAAAAAGGCGCCGCCAAACAAGGG